ACAUUGGUAGUUCAGUGGUAGAAUUCUUACCUUCCAUGCAGGAGACCUGAUUUCAACCCCUGGCCAGUGUA
Molecule: transfer RNA, 71 nt
Filed under: Loxodonta africana (African savanna elephant)
Lineage: Eukaryota; Metazoa; Chordata; Mammalia; Proboscidea; Elephantidae
Rfam family: tRNA
About the family: Transfer RNA (tRNA) molecules are approximately 80 nucleotides in length.
Source: Rfam by way of RNAcentral